CCGUAGGUGAACCUGCGGAAGGAUCAUUACCGAGUGUAGGGUUCCUAGCGAGCCCAACGUCCCACCCGUGUUUACUGUACCUUAGUUGCUUCGGCGGGCCCGCCAUUCAUGGCCGCCGGGGGCUCUCAGCCCCGGGCCCGCGCCCGCCGGAGACACCACGAACUCUGUCUGAUCUAGUGAAGUCUGAGUUGAUUGUAUCGCAAUCAGUUAAAACUUUCAACAAUGGAUCUCUUGGUUCCGGCAUCGAUGAAGAACGCAGCGAAAUGCGAUAACUAGUGUGAAUUGCAGAAUUCCGUGAAUCAUCGAGUCUUUGAACGCACAUUGCGCCCCCUGGUAUUCCGGGGGGCAUGCCUGUCCGAGCGUCAUUGCUGCCCAUCAAGCACGGCUUGUGUGUUGGGUCGUCGUCCCCUCUCCGGGGGGGACGGGCCCCAAAGGCAGCGGCGGCACCGCGUCCGAUCCUCGAGCGUAUGGGGCUUUGUCACCCGCUCUGUAGGCCCGGCCGGCGCUUGCCGAACGCAAAUCAAUCUUUUUCCAGAUUGACCUCGGAUCAGGUAGGGAUAACCGCUGAACUUAAGCAUAUCAA
This 583-nucleotide ribosomal RNA is filed under the name Aspergillus flavus. RNAcentral describes it as "eukaryotic LSU rRNA". The stretch from base 212 to 365 matches the Rfam family "5.8S ribosomal RNA". Lineage: Eukaryota; Fungi; Ascomycota; Eurotiomycetes; Eurotiales; Aspergillaceae. The record is from RNAcentral.